GAUGAACGCUGGCGGCGUGCCUAAUACAUGCCAGUCGAGCGAACAGACGAGGAGCUUGCUCCUCUGACGUUAGCGGCGGACGGGUGAGUAACACGUGGAUAACCUACCUAUAAGACUGGGAUAACUACGGGAAACCGGAGCUAAUACCGGAUAACAUGUUGAACCGCAUGGUUCAACAGUGAAAGACGGUCUUGCUGUCACUUAUAGAUGGAUCCGCGCCGCAUUAGCUAGUUGGUAAGGUAACGGCUUACCAAGGCAACGAUGCGUAGCCGACCUGAGAGGGUGGUCGGCCACACUGGAACUGAGACACGGUCCAGACUCCUACGGGAGGCAGCAGUAGGGAAUCUUCCGCAAUGGGCGAAAGCCUGACGGAGCAACGCCGCGUGAGUGAAGAAGGUCUUCGGAUCGUAAAACUCUGUUAUUAGGGAAGAACAAAUGUGUAAGUAACUAUGCACGUCUUGACGGUACCUAAUCAGAAAGCCACGGCUAACUACGUG
RNAcentral lists this ribosomal RNA (497 nucleotides) under uncultured bacterium. RNAcentral describes it as "partial 16S ribosomal RNA". It matches the Rfam family "Bacterial small subunit ribosomal RNA", at positions 28 to 507 of the family's 1533-position model. The record is from RNAcentral.